UUUCCCAAACGCCGAACCUUUCUUCCCCAACCCCUCGCGACCCGACUUCCCUCUCUUCUCUGUUCUCUCUCGCGGAUGAUCGACGCCGAUGGAGCAAGGCUUUAGCUCCGGCGAUCUUUUCUCUGCCGGCAUCGACCCUUAAGCUCAGAUCCAGCCGAAGCCCUUCUCCUUCUCAGUCCGAUCUCUCUCUUCUCUCACACGGAAGAUCCGACGCACCCGACGCCGACAGAGGGCAACUGCUUUCCGACGAUCUGGGCCUCUUCGCGUCGCCUGAGGAUCGUCGCCGGAUUGUUGAAGGUGCUGACGCUGUCCAAGCUCUUCCGAUGGAGCGAUCCCUUCCUCGGCCGGUUCUUACGCGUGAGCGACUAUGGCUAGGUGGCUAGGGCACAGUGGAGGGCUUGGUUUUGGUUGUUUCCGACCGAUUGACCCUUCGUUUCCUCCUUCUUGAGCUGUUCACAUAACGAUCCGUGGCUCCUCAAAGUGGAUCGGAUUGGGCGAUACCUUCUGGAGACAACCGAUUGAGGGAGGUGUUCUUGAGCUGCCGGGAAGAGGCUAGAAGGAUGGUUAAUUGAUCAGUGAUCUCCCUGCUCGACCUCCUGUUGUGAUCCGAUUGAUUCCAAUGAGGUUGAGUGCUGUGGAUCAACAAGCACAAUUGUGAGAACCCUCCCAAGCUGGCUACUCCUCUAUUUGAUACUAAAAUGGCAGAGGACCCUAAGAUGACAUACAUAGACCUAGAUAAUCUUCAAAUUGUGUUUUGAACGAAGAGUAGUGUUUGGUCUUGCAUUGUGAUGGCGUCUGAGUGUUGGCUUGGUCUCUGUUGGCUUGCUACAUAUCUAGAAAGCUCCAUGAUUUGUGCUAAGCUGAAGCGUAUCCAAUUUGGAUUUUCUAGCUCAAAAUAUCAGUAGAUUUGUUGUGGUAGUGCCUUAACAGGAUUUGAGACUUCUCCAUUCAGGUAAAGACAAGUCCGGUAGAUACAAAAAUUACAAGAUUACAAGUUUGGAUUGAAGGUCACAAGAAAAAAAAUGGGGAGCCUAGUACUCAAGCUGUUGGAGAGAAAAUAGUGGACCUAAUUCGACCAAAUGAUGAAAUGCAGUUUCUCGAUGAUGCAAUAGGAAGAAUGGUCGCAUGGUUAUCUAAAUUUAUAGUAUUGUGUGAUUGAUACAUAUUAUACUAAUUUGUUUGAAUUGUAAGUUGAAUUGUUAUUAUGUAAUUGCUAGUUUGUUAGAGAUUUCAUAUAUUGUUUUAGAUGUUUUGAGUUUUUGUAGUAUAAUGAAAAGCUAUGACUUUUAUUAAUUCUGUAUGGAUUUGAUUUGCACUAAAUUUGUUGUAAAAUUUUAAUUUAUUAUUUUUGUCAA
Molecule: long non-coding RNA, 1355 nt
Organism: Zingiber officinale
Lineage: Eukaryota; Viridiplantae; Streptophyta; Magnoliopsida; Zingiberales; Zingiberaceae
Exons: 7
Source: RefSeq, a predicted model, not a curated record